UGGCGCGGUUCUCUUUUGGGUCGAGCUUGUAGGUCUGCGGAGGCGGCGGCACCGGCGAUGGGCGGGGUCUCGGUAGCCCAUCUUGCUGGGUGAUGGGCUCGUGCUUCGCGGCUGGAUGAGGCGGAUACGAUCUGGACAGGAUAAGAUCUUUCUGAAGAAUUCACUAUGGUCCGAGAACGAAAAUGUAUAUUGUGCUGCAUUGUAUACAGCUCAAAAAAGGAGAUGGAUGAGCACAUGAGAAGUAUGCUUCAUCACCGGGAACUUGAAAACCUCAAGGGGAGGUAUGACUAUAACAGUGACCAUUUCAUCUUUCUUCACUUUAAUCCAGUACAACACAACUCUUAUGAUGUGAAAUAAAAUCUCUAUUAUAAUACUGCUGCAAUUAAAAUGUGUUUUAAAUUUUUUAAU
Python bivittatus (Burmese python) is the source of this 408-nucleotide non-coding RNA. Lineage: Eukaryota; Metazoa; Chordata; Lepidosauria; Squamata; Pythonidae. The record is from RefSeq and is a predicted model, not a curated record.